UAAGUGUAAAUAUAAAUAUAUAUAUUUAUAUAUUAAAUAGUUUUAUUAAAUUAAUUAAAGAAAAGAAAGAAAAGAAAGGACAAAAAGAAGAAAAGGAGAAGAAAAUUUCAUUUUCUCUUUUCUUCUUCUUCUUCUCUUCCCUUCACCGCCAAGAGUUUGAAGACAUCCAAGUUCCCUUUAUUUUUUUUUUCUUUUUCCUUCUUCAAUUUGCAGAGAACUUCUAAGAGAGAGUUUGGAAGAAGAAGAGAAAUUUUUACUAGAAUUUUUAGGUUGAAGAAGAGGAGGAGAACUCAAGCAAAGUGUAUCAAUGGCUGAAUUUUAGUUCAUUCUGCACAUCACUGGUUUUUAAUUCGGUUUUAACUCUUCAAAAGGAAUUAAGAGGGCAGUUGGUUUUCACUCGAAAUCAAGAGGUCUCUGGUGUUUCUUGUAUUUCAGAGUGUAUCGGUGGAGUUAGAAUCUCUAUUUGCUAUGGAACAAGUUAAAGAGGUCGUGUGCGCGCGAUUCUGGAAGUGGUUCUGUUUUGAGGGUUAUAUGUCUUUAUGCACGGAGAAUCAGAUUUAUAUGUCUUCAGGCCGAGAAGAAUUAAACCGAGCUUAUAGACCAAGGAUCUAGCCCAAGACUGUAGAGAUCGACUUCCCGGUGCCUGAUAGACUGCCUUAGUCUGCGGAAGCUUCAUUAUCGAUUGCCAGUACGUGUUUUGAGUUGGGCAUAAAGUCUGUUGUGUUGUAAUGUAUUCACACCCUUGUAUGUUAUAGAUACUCCACAGUUUGUAUAAGCUUUAGGAGCUGUAGUUGUGUAAAUUUUGUUGGUUAUAUUUUGAUUAAGGUGUCUUUAGGUUUACUCGUGAAAUCGGUAAAUUUUGAAGUACACUUCAUAUAUGUGUUUGACUAGCUGUGUUUGACUAGCCUAGGAUCCGCUGUGUUUUGUGGCAUGUACAAUAGUUUAUAUACUAGAUUGGCAAGUUCAUCACAUGAAAGUUUUAAGCAGAGUCGACAGUUACAGGUACAGAAAAACGUUGUUCGUCGGCUUCACGCCAUCUUUCGGUCUAAGGUAGCAGGUAGUCCGGGAGGGGGUGUGACAUUCCUCUUAUUCCUUUUACGAAGAACAUGAACCAUUCCCACGAAUUGGUUUCAGGCUUCUCAUCCGCUUAAUUAUACUUCGUCGAUUCAUCAUUAUUAAGGAUCUAUUUUUUGCGACUUGCAAUGCGAGUAAACUAAGUUAUGUAAUAAAAAGUGCUAACUUUGCCUAUAGGCGAGGACCAUGGUAUAA
This is a long non-coding RNA of Cucumis melo (muskmelon), 1269 nucleotides long. RefSeq lists it as uncharacterized. NCBI's taxonomy places the organism in Eukaryota, Viridiplantae, Streptophyta, Magnoliopsida, Cucurbitales, Cucurbitaceae. The transcript is spliced from 5 exons. The record is from RefSeq and is a predicted model, not a curated record.